GCUAACUCCGUGCCAGCAGGCGCGGUAAUGCGGAGGGUGCAAGCGUUAUCCGGAUUUAUUGGGUUUAAAGGGUCCGUAGGCGGACUUAUAAGUCAGUGGUGAAAGCCUGUCGCUUAACGAUAGAACUGCCAUUGAUACUGUAAGUCUUGAGUAUAUUUGAGGUAGCUGGAAUAAGUAGUGUAGCGGUGAAAUGCAUAGAUAUUACUUAGAACACCAAUUGCGAAGGCAGGUUACCAAGAUAUAACUGACGCUGAGGGACGAAAGCGUGGGGAGCGAACAGGAUUAGAUACCCUAGUAGUC
Molecule: ribosomal RNA, 300 nt
Filed under: uncultured Lactobacillus sp.
Lineage: Bacteria; Bacillati; Bacillota; Bacilli; Lactobacillales; Lactobacillaceae
Description: bacterial SSU rRNA
Rfam family: Bacterial small subunit ribosomal RNA
Source: RNAcentral